RNAcentral lists this ribosomal RNA (427 nucleotides) under uncultured bacterium. RNAcentral describes it as "bacterial SSU rRNA". It matches the Rfam family "Bacterial small subunit ribosomal RNA", at positions 29 to 461 of the family's 1533-position model. The record is from RNAcentral.
AUUGAACGCUGGCGGCAUGCUUUACACAUGCAAGUCGAACGGCAGCGCGGGGCAACCUGGCGGCGAGUGGCGAACGGGUGAGUAAUACAUCGGAACGUACCCAGAAGUGGGGGAUAACGUAGCGAAAGUUACGCUAAUACCGCAUACGACCUAAGGGUGAAAGUGGGGGACCGCAAGGCCUCAUGCUUUUGGAGCGGCCGAUGUCUGAUUAGCUAGUUGGUGAGGUAAAGGCUCACCAAGGCGACGAUCAGUAGCUGGUCUGAGAGGACGACCAGCCACACUGGGACUGAGACACGGCCCAGACUCCUACGGGAGGCAGCAGUGGGGAAUUUUGGACAAUGGGGGGCAACCCUGAUCCAGCAAUGCCGCGUGAGUGAAGAAGGCCUCGGUGUAAGCUCUUUGUUCUAGGGAAGGAAACGGUUACGGG